CACAACUUGCCUGGCACUUGAGAUUUCAGGUACCAACUUGCUUUUCAAAUGACACGUGUCCUCGCGCUAGUCGUAACAAUACAAACAAACAUGGUAUAGAUAAAAUUAACAUCACACCAAACAUAAUAAUAUACUGCAUAAUAAUGAUCUAUGUGUUGCUACGAGACUAACGCAACUUGAACGGAUUAAAUCGGAGUUAAAACGGAGGAGUUAUGAAUUUGCUAGGGUUUUAUGUAUUUGAUACAUGAUUAAUUAUGAGAUCAAUUUUAAUGUGGUUUUCAUGUCAAAACAGAGAUACUAGGUGAUAAAAAAACAUUAUUACAAAAUUAUAGAAACUGGAAUGGAUAAAUUUGGACUAAAUAUGGAUUUUCUAUGGAAUAAACAAGUUUCUAUCAAUUAUUUAUACACUAAAAAUCUAUUUCUACUUUAUUUUCUCUGAUUUUACAAUGCUCUGGACUGGGCCUCAAUAACAGGGAAAUCUGGGGUUGCAGGGUAAAAUUUCCUAAGACCUAGGCAACAGUCGCCGAGGACGGCGGGUUGUUUAUUAACAUCGUCAGGGGCUCAUACGCAAAAUUCAUAUGUCGAAGCGGUAUCGACCGAUCGCGGCCGCACGAUCUAUGGUGGGCGGUAUGGAUUAGAUCCGUAGACAUCAGAACCUGUAAUUCUACGUGAACCCUCGGAUUACCGAUCAAGGGCCAGAAUCCGCCCACGACAACCCCCAAUCCGACCCGUUGGAUUUGUGAGUAACGACACUUAUCUAACCGCGUGAGAAGGUACCCGGUCGUCAAUCCUAACCAUCCGUUACGCCAUCGACGACUUAGUUUCUAUCGUCUACCUCCAGGUGAACCGCGACAGCGCUGACUGCGCACGGCGGUGACCGCGCCGGCGAGAGGGCGCAAAACGUUCCUGGCGGCCCAAGAUCCCCAAUCGAUUACUCCAAUUUGGACCAGAGAAAAAUAGCUAGCAUGGGGGGCAUUCAAUCGGAGGUUUGAAGCGACGGAGGUGGUCAGCCCACGAGCCGCGGCGGCACUGCGGCCAACAACCACACCGGCGACGAAUUCUAAGGGCACUGGUGAUCUAUCGCUUAGCCCAAUCGGCGCUAUACCUCGGGUAAGUGAAAUCAAAACAGGGAACGUGGCACAUACCAACAAUUUCGCGAUGCCGACUCGAGCCAGGGUGUGAUGCGGCGUGGUUGUGGGAUGAGAGCAUGAUUCGGUGAGCAAUCGACGGCACUCCAAUUUGCCCCCCCUAAGUUUGACAACACUGAGCUCCCGCGCGCACGGUGAACUGACGAGGCGCGAGCCCAGCCACACUCGUUCGGUCGCCAAGGAUAAGCAGCAGGGACUACGGGUGCCGAGCGCCAUGGCAGCGGCGCGGCUGGGUUCAUGGCGGCGGAGGUUAGGGUUCUAAGGAAAGAAAGAAAGGGCACCAGGCGCGCAGCUUUAAAGUCCG
Molecule: long non-coding RNA, 1452 nt
Filed under: Zea mays
Lineage: Eukaryota; Viridiplantae; Streptophyta; Magnoliopsida; Poales; Poaceae
Description: long non-coding RNA (ZMAY_LNC004480)
Source: RNAcentral